RNAcentral lists this ribosomal RNA (777 nucleotides) under uncultured Neocallimastigales. RNAcentral describes it as "partial large subunit ribosomal RNA". It matches the Rfam family "Eukaryotic large subunit ribosomal RNA", at positions 24 to 644 of the family's 3401-position model. Lineage: Eukaryota; Fungi; Neocallimastigomycota; Neocallimastigomycetes; Neocallimastigales. The record is from RNAcentral.
UAUCUCUGUAGAGUCUGCAUAUCAAUAAGCGGAGGAAAAGAAACUAACAAGGAUUCCCUUAGUAACGGCGAGUGAAGCGGGAAGAGCUCAAAUUUGAAAUCUUCAAGGUUCUACCUUGACGAAUUGUAGUUUAAAGAAGUGUUUUCUGUUGGAGUUUGGUAGAAAAGUUCUUUGGAAUAGGGACAUCAUAGAGGGUGAGAAUCCCGUAUUUGGAUCAUUAUUUCUAGCUUUGUGAUACACUUUCAAAGAGUCGGAUUGUUUGGGAAUGCAGUCCAAAAUGGGUGGUAAAUUUCAUCUAAAGCUAAAUAUUGGCGAGAGACCGAUAGCGAACAAGUACCGUGAGGGAAAGAUGAAAAGAACUUUGAAAAGAGAGUUAAACAGUACGUGAAAUUGUCAAAAGGGAAGCGUUUGACACCAGUGUUGUUUUUCCGAAAAUCAAUUACGAAUGGCUUGAUUUUGUGUUGUAUUGACCUUAUCAGCUUUCUUCACUUUUUUCGAGUCUUUCUUAAUGCACUUUUUGGUUAACAAGUCAACAUCAAUUUCUUUUGUUGUAAACGAGUAUUCGGAAGGUGGCUUUCUUUUCGGAGAAAGUGUUUAUAGCCCUAUACUUCUACAAUCGGAGAGAUUGAGGUCUGCAGCGUAGAUCCUUCGGGGUUAGAUACACUUGUGCUAAGUUGUAGCUUUUCAUAGACAACUUGUUGACUAUGUUUAGUCAUGCGGCUUACUCGCUUGUGCUAUUUUACCUACGCUUAGGAUGUUGACUGAUAUGUAGUCGUA